RNAcentral lists this ribosomal RNA (535 nucleotides) under uncultured bacterium. Its description in RNAcentral is "bacterial SSU rRNA". It matches the Rfam family "Bacterial small subunit ribosomal RNA", at positions 777 to 1312 of the family's 1533-position model. The record is from RNAcentral.
AAUAGAUACCCAGGUAGUCCACGCCGUAAACGAUGUCGACUUGGAGGUUGUUCCCUUGAGGAGUGGCUUCCGGAGCUAACGCGUUAAGUCGACCGCCUGGGGAGUACGGCCGCAAGGUUAAAACUCAAAUGAAUUGACGGGGGCCCGCACAAGCGGUGGAGCAUGUGGUUUAAUUCGAUGCAACGCGAAGAACCUUACCUACUCUUGACAUCCAGAAAACUUAGCAGAGAUGCUUUGGUGCCUUCGGGAACUCUGAGACAGGUGCUGCAUGGCUGUCGUCAGCUCGUGUUGUGAAAUGUUGGGUUAAGUCCCGCAACGAGCGCAACCCUUAUCCUUUGUUGCCAGCGGUCCGGCCGGGAACUCAAAGGAGACUGCCAGUGAUAAACUGGAGGAAGGUGGGGAUGACGUCAAGUCAUCAUGGCCCUUACGAGUAGGGCUACACACGUGCUACAAUGGCGCAUACAAAGAGAAGCGACCUCGCGAGAGCAAGCGGACCUCAUAAAGUGCGUCGUAGUCCGGAUUGGAGUCUGCAACG